GUGUCAGCCGCCGCGGUAAUACGGAGGGUGCAAGCGUUGUCCGGAUUUAUUGGGUGUAAAGGGUGUGCAGGCGGGACGGUAAGUCAGAGGUGAAAGCCCGCAGCUUAACUGUGGAAUUGCCUUUGAUACUGCCGACCUUGAGUCCCGGAGAGGUGGCUGGAAUUCGUGGUGUAGCGGUGAAAUGCGUAGAUAUCACGAGGAACACCAAAGGCGUAGGCAGGUCACUGGACGGGUACUGACGCUGAGGCACGAAAGCGUGGGGAGCAAACAGGAUUAGAUACCCUGGUAGUCCACGCUGUAAACGAUGGAUGCUCGGUGUCGCCUCCUUAUGGGGGCGGUGCCUAAGCUAACGCGAUAAGCAUCCCACCUGGGGAGUACGCUCGCAAGAGUGAA
This 393-nucleotide ribosomal RNA is filed under the name uncultured bacterium. RNAcentral's name for it is "bacterial SSU rRNA". It matches the Rfam family "Bacterial small subunit ribosomal RNA", at positions 505 to 898 of the family's 1533-position model. The record is from RNAcentral.